AUGGUAGGCACGGACGGGGGUACGGCCCACAGAGUACAUGGAUACGCUGUCGAACUGCAAUGCAUGACAUGUAACCUGCGGCCUCUGCGACCCAUUAAAACCUCACACAGGCUCAGCAGCUUGGCUUUCCCUGUCAUCCCCUACCAGAAGACAACCGGGCACGGACAACCAUCACAUCGGCCAUUAACCGGCAUUCAUUCAUGCCGGGCUAGCACUAGAUCACAAACCGCACUGCACUGCUGCUCAUUCAUCAAGGCUGCUACAGCAGCUGCGACGUCAAACUCCCCGUCAUCAUCAUCGUCGUCGUCGUCCCCGGCAUUAAAAAGGAGGCGAGGAAGCCCGUGA
This 345-nucleotide ribosomal RNA is filed under the name Triticum aestivum (bread wheat). Its description in RNAcentral is "partial small subunit ribosomal RNA". The record is from RNAcentral. Lineage: Eukaryota; Viridiplantae; Streptophyta; Magnoliopsida; Poales; Poaceae.